Molecule: long non-coding RNA, 827 nt
Organism: Pygocentrus nattereri (red-bellied piranha)
Lineage: Eukaryota; Metazoa; Chordata; Actinopteri; Characiformes; Serrasalmidae
Exons: 5
Source: RefSeq, a predicted model, not a curated record
UGUCUAUGGCAUAGAUGGCACUGAGGCUGGACAACUAGAUGGUACAUGAAUUGAAAACGAGUAGUUAUUUGCUGAUUUCAGUCGACUGAAAUGAGUUAAACUGGUAAGUGCUGCUGUUUUGUGUGUGAAGUUAUUGUACUUGUGCUUCAUAGUUUGGGCGUGAAAUAUAAAUGUAUAUGUAUGUCCUUUUUAAUUUUUCUUCUUGCAUAUAUGUGCAGUAUAUCAUCUACAGUUCAUAUACACCCCACAGUUCAAGGCAGCGGACUUUCCUCUGUCAGAGGAAAGAUUCCAUAAGAAAGUCCUUUCGCUUCUUAUCGAAAUAAAGGAUUUAAUAGAAAUUGCUCUCUAACCUACUGAUGGGGCCACUUUUCAUGUAAAGCCAGCUAACACAGAGAUGGAGUUCAAGGAACUGGAGAGUCGUCUGGUGGAUGAAACAGAGAGCAGCCCUACAAGCACAUUUUAAAAGACGGGGCGGUGUAGAUGCUGUGCACCUGAUCAAGAACUCAAUGGCUGCAACUCUCACAAAUGCCAUGAUGGCCAAGAUGAGCCUAAAGGGGAAAUGUGGGAAACUGCCAUUUUCAGAGUCUCUGCUCUGCAAUGUCAUCUGUGACACUGUUCUCAGCACACACACAAUCACACAACAGGAGGCAAUGGACACGAUGGCUAAAUACCUCAAGUAUGCACCGGAGAGGUUGGGGUGGUGGUGGCCGCAAGAAAUAAGAUUUAUCUUUGACGUUCUUUAUACUCAGCCUGAUGCAAGUUCUUCGAUACCCUGUAAUUGCUGGACAUUUUGUAGUCCUGCUGUUCCAUGUUCUCAGAGAAGAAAU